UUAACAAAAACAUGUCCUUUUGAAUAUUAUUUAAGGUCUAGUCUGCUCAAUGAUUAAUUUAAAUAGCCGCGAUAUUUUGAUCGUGCGAAGGUAGCAUAAUCAUUAGUUUAUUUAUUGUAAGCUGGAAUGAAUGACUGGACAAAGAUAUAUCUGUCUCAAUUGUAUUAAUAGAAUUUUCUUUUAAGUUAGAAAGCUUAAAUUUUAUUAAAAGACGAGAAGACCCUAUAGAGUUUUAUUAAAUAUUAUUCUUUUAAUUUAAGUUUUAUAAUUUUUUAUUAUUAAUAUUUAAUUUAGUUGGGGUGACGAUUGAAUUGAUUUAACUUCAUUAUUUUAUCAUAUUUGUUUAUAGGUUUUUGAUUUAUUAUUAAUAAAUGUAAGAUUAAAUUACCUUAGGGAUAACAGCGUUAUUCUUUUAGAGAGUUCAUAUCGAUAGAAGAGAUUGCGACCUCGAUGUUGGAUUAAAAUUAAAUUGGGGUGUAGCAGUUCCAAUAUUUAGUCUGUUCGACUAUUAAAAUUUUACAUGAUCUGAGUU
Molecule: ribosomal RNA, 532 nt
Filed under: Trachys minutus minutus
Lineage: Eukaryota; Metazoa; Arthropoda; Insecta; Coleoptera; Buprestidae
Description: partial 16S ribosomal RNA
Rfam family: Bacterial large subunit ribosomal RNA (bases 395-532)
Source: RNAcentral